AAUAGAUACCCUGGUAGUCCACGCCGUAAACGAUGAGUGCUAAGUGUUAGAGGGUUUCCGCCCUUUAGUGCUGCAGCUAACGCAUUAAGCACUCCGCCUGGGGAGUACGGCCGCAAGGCUGAAACUCAAAGGAAUUGACGGGGGCCCGCACGAGCGGUGGAGCAUGUGGUUUAAUUCGAAGCAACGCGAAGAACCUUACCAGGUCUUGACAUCCUCUGACAACCCUAGAGAUAGGGCUUUCCCCUUCGGGGGACAGAGUGACAGGUGGUGCAUGGUUGUCGUCAGCUCGUGUCGUGAGAUGUUGGGUUAAGUCCCGCAACGAGCGCAACCCUUGAUCUUAGUUGCCAGCAUUCAGUUGGGCACUCUAAGGUGACUGCCGGUGACAAACCGGAGGAAGGUGGGGAUGACGUCAAAUCAUCAUGCCCCUUAUGACCUGGGCUACACACGUGCUACAAUGGAUGGUACAAAGGGCUGCAAACCUGCGAAGGUAAGCGAAUCCCAUAAAGCCAUUCUCAGUUCGGAUUGC
Molecule: ribosomal RNA, 526 nt
Filed under: uncultured bacterium
Lineage: Bacteria
Description: bacterial SSU rRNA
Rfam family: Bacterial small subunit ribosomal RNA
Source: RNAcentral